Molecule: ribosomal RNA, 444 nt
Filed under: uncultured Verrucomicrobiota bacterium
Lineage: Bacteria; Pseudomonadati; Verrucomicrobiota
Description: bacterial SSU rRNA
Rfam family: Bacterial small subunit ribosomal RNA
Source: RNAcentral
GCGGCCUAUCAGCUAGUUGGCACGCGUAAAAGCCCACCAAGGCUAAGACGGGUAGCUGGUCUGAGAGGACGACCAGCCACACUGGAACUGAGACACGGUCCAGACACCUACGGGUGGCAGCAGUCGAGAAUUUUUCACAAUGGGGGAAACCCUGAUGGAGCGACGCCGCGUGGGGGAUGAAGGGCUUCGGUUCGUAAACCCCUGUCAUUGGCGAACAAGUGUUGCAUUCUAAUACAGUGUAACUUGAUAGUAGCCGAAGAGGAAGGGACGGCUAACUCUGUGCCAGCAGCCGCGGUAAUACAGAGGUCCCGAGCGUUGUUCGGACUCACUGGGCGUAAAGGGUGCGUAGGUGGUUGGUUAAGUUUGAGGUGAAAGCUCCGAGCUCAACUCGGAAAAUGCCUUGAAGACUAUCUGACUAGAGGAUUGGAAGGGAGACUGGAAUUC